Non-coding RNA from Candidatus Woesebacteria bacterium GWA1_42_12, 1411 nucleotides. The record is from Rfam. Lineage: Bacteria; Candidatus Woeseibacteriota.
CUUUUUGAGGGUUUGAUCCUGGCCCAGGAUGAACGCUAGCGGCGUGCUUUAAGCAUGCAAGUGGGACGGACCUCGCAAGAGGUCAGUCGCGAACGGCUGAGUACAAGAUAAGUAUCUACCCCUUGGCGGGGAAUACCUACUCGAAAGAGUAGCUAAUACCGCAUAAGACCGAAAGGUGAAAGCGCUUAACUGCGCUCCGAGGGAGGAGCUUAUCUCCCAUCAGCUAGUUGGUAGGGUAAUGGCCUACCAAGGCUACGACGGGUAGGGGACGUGAGAGCGUGACCCCCCAGAAUGGUACUGAGACACGGACCAUACACCUACGGGUGGCAGCAACUGGGAAUCGUGCGCAAUGGACGAAAGUCUGACGCCGCGACGCCGCGUGAGGGAUGAAGGCCUUCGGGUUGUAAACCUCUUUUGACGUAAGGGAGACCUUACGUAGAAUAAGCAUCCGCUAACUCUGUGCCAGCAGCUGCGGUAAUACAGAGGAUGCAAGCGUUAUCCGGAUUUAUUGGGCGUAAAGCGUUUCGUAGGCGGUAGGGAAAGUUAUCCUUCAAAGACCAGGGCUCAACCUUGGGAAGGGGGAUAAUACUUCCUUACUUGAAAGAUUUCGGGGUUUUCGGAACUCUCGGUGUAGGAGUGAAAUCCGUUGAUAUCGAGAGGAACACCAAGGGCGAAGGCAGAAAACUAGGAAUUUUUUGACGCUGAGGAACGACAGCUAGGGGAGCGAAAGGGAUUAGAGACCCCUGUAGUCCUAGCCGUAAACUAUGCUCGCUAACCCGUUUUUCGGAACGGGUGCAAGCUAACGCGUGAAGCGAGCCGCCUGGGGAGUACGGCCGCAAGGCUAAAACUCAAAGGAAUUGACGGGGACCUGCACAACCAGUGGAGCAUGUGGUUUAAUUCGAGACGAACCGAAGAACCUUACCCGGGUUUGACAUUCUACCGUUUUAGGUUUGUAGAAAUAUAGACCGAUUCUUAAGCAAUUAAGAAAGGUAGAACAGGUGUUGCAUGGCCGUCGUCAGCUCGUGCCGUGGGGUGUUCCCUUCAGUGGGGUAACGAGCGCAACCCCUGCCGUAUGUUGAAUAUUCAUACGGGACUUUCCGAGUUUUUCUCGGAAGGAAGUGGGGACGACGUCAGGUCAGCAUGGCCCUUAUGUCCGGGGCGACACACAUGCUACAAUGGAGCCGACAAUGGGUUGCCAAGCCGCAAGGCGGAGCUAAUCCCAUCAAACGGCUUCUCAGUAGGGAUUGGGGGCUGCAACUCGCCCCCAUGAACGCGGAAUUGGUAGUAAUCGGUAAUCAGCUAAGUACCGGUGAAUACGUUCUCAGGUCUUGUACACACCGCCCGUCAAGUUAGUGAAGUUGGGGGCAGCCGAAUCUCGAAUGUUUCGGGAGAAGCUGAAACCAGCGACAAG